AAUGACUAUCGAAUGUGGACGUUAUUUUAAAUUUUAUUCAAAAUAAAAUACAAAGAGGUGAAGAAGGAAGUUUUGUCAAAUUCCAAAUCUUCUAAGUUCACACCUGCAUAUUGAAAACACCAGAGGAGAUGGACCAAGAAUUCCCCUCCAAACAGAACAUGUGAAAAUUUGAAAGCAGGUCAUUUGAUUGGUCAAGCUGGUGCAACGCUACCAGUGUUAUACACCAUGCAUGUACACCAUGCUGCUGUGUGAUCAAGUGAGGGGCAUCACAAGGAAGGGGAAGAUAUUUAGAUCAUUCAUGGAGCCUUCAACAUCGUAUUAAAACCAAAUUAUAAAGAGAACUCAAGAAGCCAGAGUUUUACAUUUAGUCAUGACCAGUCAUGACAUUCAGCAAAUGAAUGAGUAUCUGAUGAAAAUUAGUGAGAGUUUUCAGAGAAUGGGAGAUACCGUCGGGACACCUUCACUAAGUCUGCUAAAUUAUACUACAACAAUAUAAUGACAAACAUUGCUGUUAUUCUCCCAAAGAACUUCAAAGAAAUAGUGAAGUCUUACAGUAUCUGAAGAAAAUCCUAGUCUUGCCUAGUAUUAUACCUGAGGGAAGUUUUGACCACUUAUCCUGAAGUUAUUCAUGCAUAUUAACAUGGGUCCACUAUGCACUACAUGUACUAUGAAUAUGCUUCAAAUAAUUAAAAAAAAAUUUAAUAAUGUACAUUCUUAAAUAAAAGAUAAAAAGUGUAUAAACAGUAGUCUCAUUGCAUGUAAAAUGAUAAUUCCAUCCUUUGUUACAAUUAUUGAAUUUUUAUAAAAUUGACAAAAAAAUUAAAGAAAUCUAUGUCAAAAGUGUCUAUUACUAUUUUCAA
This is a long non-coding RNA of Saccostrea cuccullata (small rock oyster), 860 nucleotides long. RefSeq lists it as uncharacterized. The record is from RefSeq and is a predicted model, not a curated record. The transcript has 3 exons. NCBI's taxonomy places the organism in Eukaryota, Metazoa, Mollusca, Bivalvia, Ostreida, Ostreidae.